This is a long non-coding RNA of Felis catus (domestic cat), 1024 nucleotides long. RefSeq lists it as uncharacterized. NCBI's taxonomy places the organism in Eukaryota, Metazoa, Chordata, Mammalia, Carnivora, Felidae. The transcript is spliced from 3 exons. The record is from RefSeq and is a predicted model, not a curated record.
UGGGAGAGCCAUGAAGUCCCCUGUAAGGGGUGGAGAGCACCAUUUGAAUCAGCUGGAAGAAAAGAAAAGACUCUGAUAUACCUGUUUGAGGAAGCUAACCUUUGAAUGAGAGAAACUUCUGCUGAUGUCAAAUGACCACAAGGAUAUUAACAACUGGACUUGGAGGCUGUCGGCCGCUGUUGGUUUAUUAGUUGAACAAACCGGAUGGUUAGUCCUGUAGCAUAGCCUGCUGACCCUCAUGUUGAAGGUAUUCUGUUUUUUUAUUACUAUUUUUUAUUUGAAUUCCAGUAUAGAAUGUUAAGGGUAUUCUUGUGGUGUCACUUAAUAUAUCUUCUGCCUAUGUUUCUUUUAAUCUUCCAAUUAGAGCUGGAGGUUUGAUCAGCUUCAGGUUCAGUUUUUGACAAGACUAUUUUAUAAGUGCUUACAUAUUAUAUUUGCAAUAUAACUUCUCUUUGGGGGGGCUUUAGUAACUAUUGAUAAUUAUUGCCUGGACCCAUUAACUUCUUUAAUGAUUAUGAAACAGUGCUAUUUAAAUGCUCUCAUUUCUUCUUCAUGUAUUAGCUGGAGUGUCUUUAUGGAGAAAAUUUCCUGUAAUUCACUAUUUGCUUCCUCUGAUGUACAGUUCACUAAGAAAAUAAAGAAUAUUUGUUAUUUUCUCCUUCUGCUAACUUUGGGCUAAGUUUGUUCUUUUUAUAGUUCCUUGAAAUGUAAAGUUAUGUUGUUUAUUUGCAAUCUUUCUUCUUUCUUAAUGUAAGCAUUUAUCACUAUAAACUUCCUUCUUAGAACUGCUUACACUGCAUCUUGUAAGUUUUGACAUAUUGUGUUUCCAUUUUCAUUUAUUUCAUGAUAUUAUUUGAUUUCCCUUUUGAUUUCUUAUUUGACUCAUUGAUUGUUGAGUAGUGUAUUGUCUCAUUUCCACAUAUUUGUGAAUUUUUCAGUUUUCCUCCUGUUAUUGAUUUCUACUUUCACAUACCAUUGUGCUCAGAAAAGAUACUUAGUAUGAUUUCAAUCUUUUUAAAUUUUU